This 250-nucleotide ribosomal RNA is filed under the name uncultured Microvirga sp. RNAcentral's name for it is "partial 16S ribosomal RNA". It matches the Rfam family "Bacterial small subunit ribosomal RNA", at positions 524 to 773 of the family's 1533-position model. The record is from RNAcentral. Lineage: Bacteria; Pseudomonadati; Pseudomonadota; Alphaproteobacteria; Hyphomicrobiales; Methylobacteriaceae.
UACGAAGGGGGCUAGCGUUGUUCGGAAUCACUGGGCGUAAAGGGCGCGUAGGCGGCUUUGUAAGUCGGGGGUGAAAGCCUGUGGCUCAACCACAGAAUUGCCUUCGAUACUGCAUGGCUUGAGACCGGAAGAGGUUAGUGGAACUGCGAGUGUAGAGGUGAAAUUCGUAGAUAUUCGCAAGAACACCAGUGGCGAAGGCGGCUGACUGGUCCGGAUCUGACGCUGAGGCGCGAAAGCGUGGGGAGCAAAC